CUCAAGCCGGGCGUUCCUAUAGGCUAGCUGGGAGGAGGUGGAGAGCCCCGCCCCCGCCAGCUUGUGCCUGUGAGAUAAGCAGCGCCCGCCGGGAAAUGUAGUCCUCUGGCUGAGGAGCGCUGUCACUCUGAGGCGUGAGACAGAGCCUCGCUAUUUGCUCUUGUUGUCCUGGAACUUACAAUGCAGACAAGGCUGGCCUUAAACCCACAGAGAUUUGCCUGCCUCUGCCUCCUGAAUGCUUGGAUUAAAGGUAUCUUGACUGCCGGGUCCUCCUGCAAGGAGAAUGAGAUGGAACUUGAGGGAGAACGGCCAAGAGUCUGAACUCCAGGAGAUCGAGAUGUAGGACUCUCAGCUCCUUCUCCAGCAUCAUGUCUGCCUGCACACCUCUAAACCUCUGAAACUGUAAGCCAUCGACAAUUAAAUGCCUUGCCCUGAAUAUAUUUUAUAAAUUAAAAUGAUGUAAAAUACUGACAUUAAUCAAGGCUGUUCUUGUGCCCCCCCUUUUUUUUUGUCUAAAGUGUGGUUAAAUUCUACUUUCUACAAAUUGAUGAUAUUACUAAAUGAGAGGAACUAAAAAUAAAACUUCCAUAUGACACA
Molecule: non-coding RNA, 597 nt
Organism: Cricetulus griseus (Chinese hamster)
Lineage: Eukaryota; Metazoa; Chordata; Mammalia; Rodentia; Cricetidae
Source: RefSeq, a predicted model, not a curated record